AUAACUACGCUCUUGCUGCGUAACCGAACUAAGUAGGUUAUGCUUAAUCCCGGCACCAGGUGUUGGGACGAGACGUUUCCCGGGCGGUGAUGCCCAGUACCAACCCGAUCAGGAAGCGCACGCAAUUCAGGGAUAGCCUGAAGGUCUCUCCGGCCUGACGGUGAAAUCAAAGGAGAUAAGGAGUGAUUCGGCUGUCUGCCACCUGGUCACUCCCGACAAUCAAGGCAGGAUAAGCAUGUAGAAAGCAUAUGGUCGCCUUGCCUGGACGCGGGUUCGACUCCCGCCAGCUCCACUU
This 295-nucleotide transfer-messenger RNA is filed under the name Bacteroidales bacterium. RNAcentral's name for it is "partial transfer-messenger RNA". It matches the Rfam family "transfer-messenger RNA", at positions 103 to 374 of the family's 374-position model. Rfam says of the family: Bacterial tmRNA, also known as 10Sa RNA or SsrA, is named for its dual tRNA and mRNA-like properties. Its role is to liberate the mRNA from a stalled ribosome. The record is from RNAcentral. Lineage: Bacteria; Pseudomonadati; Bacteroidota; Bacteroidia; Bacteroidales.